RNAcentral lists this transfer RNA (76 nucleotides) under Candidatus Rifleibacteriota bacterium. RNAcentral's name for it is "tRNA-Thr". It matches the Rfam family "tRNA". From Rfam's summary of the family: Transfer RNA (tRNA) molecules are approximately 80 nucleotides in length. Their secondary structure includes four short double-helical elements and three loops (D, anti-codon, and T loops). Further hydrogen bonds mediate the characteristic L-shaped molecular structure. tRNAs have two regions of fundamental functional importance: the anti-codon, which is responsible for specific mRNA codon recognition, and the 3' end, to which the tRNAs corresponding amino acid is attached (by aminoacyl-tRNA synthetases). tRNAs cope with the degeneracy of the genetic code in two manners: having more than one tRNA (with a specific anti-codon) for a particular amino acid; and 'wobble' base-pairing, i.e. permitting non-standard base-pairing at the 3rd anti-codon position. The record is from RNAcentral. Lineage: Bacteria; Candidatus Rifleibacteriota.
GCCGGUGUAGCUCAGCUGGUAGAGCAGCUGACUUGUAAUCAGCAGGUCGCCGGUUCGAUUCCGGCCGCCGGCUCCA